This 422-nucleotide ribosomal RNA is filed under the name uncultured bacterium. Its description in RNAcentral is "partial 16S ribosomal RNA". It matches the Rfam family "Bacterial small subunit ribosomal RNA", at positions 360 to 774 of the family's 1533-position model. The record is from RNAcentral.
AAUAUGGGACAAUGGGGGCAACCCUGAUCCAGCCAGGCCGUGUUUGUGAAGAAGGNCUNNGGAUUNANAAGCACUUUAAGUCGNNNNNAAGGGUUGUAGGUUAAUACCCUGCAAUUUUGACGUUACCAACAGAAUUAGCACCGACUAACUUCGUGCCAGCAGCCGCGGUAAUACGAAGGGUGCAAGCGUUAAUCGGAAUUACUGGGCGUAAAGCGCGCGUAGGUGGUUCGUUAAGUUGGAAGUGAAAGCCCCGGGCUUAACCUGGGAAUUGCUUUCAAAACUGACGAGCUAGAGUACGGUAGAGGGUAGUGGAAUUUCCUGUGUAGCGGUGAAAUGCGUAGAUAUAGGAAGGAACAUCAGUGGCGAAGGCGACUACCUGGACUGAUACUGACACUGAGGUGCGAAAGCGUGGGGAGCAAACA